RNAcentral lists this small RNA (1007 nucleotides) under Geosmithia sp. U25. RNAcentral describes it as "eukaryotic LSU rRNA". The stretch from base 423 to 1007 matches the Rfam family "Eukaryotic large subunit ribosomal RNA", at positions 1 to 598 of the family's 3401-position model. The record is from RNAcentral. Lineage: Eukaryota; Fungi; Ascomycota; Sordariomycetes; Hypocreales; Bionectriaceae.
CGUACCUGUUCUUCGGGUCUCAGGCCUGGGCUGUUAUGGCUCCAGGCUGCAGGACCCGAAAUAAACUAUAAUUUUAGUGAAUCUGAGAAUAUAAAAAAAUAAUCAAAACUUUCAGCAACGGAUCUCUUGGUUCUGGCAUCGAUGAAGAACGCAGCGAAAUGCGAUAAGUAAUGUGAAUUGCAGAAUUCAGUGAACCAUCGAAUCUUUGAACGCACAUUGCGCCCGCCAGCACUCUGGCGGGCAUGCCUGUCCGAGCGUCAUUCAACCCUCAGCAUAGCUGGUGUUAGGGACGGCAUAUGCUCUGCAUGUGCCCCCCUGAAAUCAAUUGGCGGUCUCGUCGCGACCUCUGCGUAGUUACAAUCCUCGCAGCUGGAAAGCGGCUCGGCCUGCCCAAACACUCUCGCAAGAGAACAUCACCAUGUUGACCUCGGAUCAGGUAGGACUACCCGCUGAACUUAAGCAUAUCAAUAAGCGGAGGAAAAGAAACCAACAGGGAUUGCCUCAGUAACGGCGAGUGAAGCGGCAACAGCUCAAAUUUGAAAUCUGGCAUCAGCCCGAGUUGUAAUUUGUAGAGGAUGCUUCUGGCGACGCGCCUUCCGAGUUCCCUGGAACGGGACGCCAAAGAGGGUGAGAGCCCCGUCCGGUCGUGCGCCUAGCCUCUGUGAAGCUCCUUCGACGAGUCGAGUAGUUUGGGAAUGCUGCUCUAAAUGGGAGGUAUACGUCUUCUAAAGCUAAAUAUCGGCCAGAGACCGAUAGCGCACAAGUAGAGUGAUCGAAAGAUGAAAAGCACUUUGAAAAGAGGGUUAAAUAGUACGUGAAAUUGCUGAAAGGGAAGCGCUCAUGACCAGACUUGGGCUCGGUGAAUCAGCCGGCGUUCUCGCCGGUGCACUUUGCCGGGCCCAGGCCAGCAUCAGUUCGCCGCGGGGGAUAAAGGCGUCGGGAACGUAGCUCCUCCGGGAGUGUUAUAGACCGGCGCGUAAUACCCUGGGGUGGACUGAGGUACGCGU